GGAAGACAGGGACAUGGGUAGAAAGAAAAGGAAGCCACAUACGGAAGUGUCCUUCAUUUUUUGACCCCACUCAUCAUCCACACAACGUCAUCUCGGUCGCAGGAGCCCACAGAGAGUCUCAGUGUCAGGGAUGAUUCUCCACAUCGGACUGGUGAAAGCUCAUCAUUGUGCAUUGUGGACCACCGUCGAGAGGCGCCACUCCACCGAGACCGCCACUUCGGGCCUCAAGCACGGUACUCAGUGUCUCCGAGUCCGCCGGCACGCCGCCACCCCGCGGCGUCGGGCCGCUUCACGCCAGUGUUGUAAAGAGCCAAACCAUUCCUCACCCAAGGGGAGGCGGUGACAUAAUGGGAAUCCCCCCGCCGUGCAAGAGAAGGAUGACCCAAUAGCUGACAUCACGCAGCAGGGAGGGAGCGCAGGAAGAUGAUUCCUCCCCGGUUGUCAUGGUGCACAUGGGGAUGCCGCUCUGCGACUUAAACUUCGCCUGGGGGAGAAAUUCAUACGAAUCUCCCAGCGAGAAACGGCCAUUAUCCUAGGUUGACUUUGAGGGGUCCCCCCCCCCCUGACUGAUGUAUUGGACAGGACAUGAAUGGGAUUACGAGGCGCUUUGGCUGCCGCCGAAAAGACCAGAGAGAAAUAUUUCUCAAAAAAUUCUCCUGAAACUGAAGAGGUGAACACAAAGGGCUACAAGGAGGAGAGUUUGAUCUGAAUCCCGUAUCCUGUUGUUUUCAACGUGACUAAAUGAAUCCAC
This is a long non-coding RNA of Gasterosteus aculeatus aculeatus (three-spined stickleback), 751 nucleotides long. The record is from Ensembl. NCBI's taxonomy places the organism in Eukaryota, Metazoa, Chordata, Actinopteri, Perciformes, Gasterosteidae.